Molecule: non-coding RNA, 1232 nt
Organism: Misgurnus anguillicaudatus (oriental weatherfish)
Lineage: Eukaryota; Metazoa; Chordata; Actinopteri; Cypriniformes; Cobitidae
Source: RefSeq, a predicted model, not a curated record
GUCCAUGUCCAGAAAGAUAAUAAAAAACAUAAUCAAAGUUGCCAUUUGACAUCAAUGGGUCAGUUAGAAUGUGUUGAAGCAUCCAAAAAACAUCUUGGUCCAAAAAUGACAAAUUUAUUCAGCAUUCUCUUCCAUGUCUAUUGUGUAGCGCAUGUGUCUGACUAAAGUCUUGUGACGCAGAUGGCGUGUUAUCCUCAGAUAUGUUUGUGAAUUUUUUUCACAUUUACAGCAUUCGUCUCCCUCAGACUGUAAACGAAGCUCGGGUGCACAAAAAAAAGCGGGGACGCACCUAAUAACACAUCAGCCACGUUGUACGUCAGCUGCGUCACUGCAGUCAUGUGACUUUAGUCUCGUGCGCGUUCAAAACAGAACCGGAAGAGAAGACAAUGCUGAAUGAUGUCGUAAUUUUGUUAUUUUUGGACCAAAGUGUAUUUUCGAUGCUUCAACACAUUUUAACUGACCCACUGAUGUCAAAUGGCUACUUUGAUGAUGUUUUUUUAUUACCUCUCUGUUCCUGGACAGUAUACUGUGCAUAGAUUUUCAAUGGAGGGUCAGAAAGCUCUCAGACUAAAUCUAAAAUAUCUUAAACUGUGUUUCGAAGAUGAACGGAGGUCUUACCCUCAUGUCGUUCCAAACUCGUGAGUCAUUAAUUACAUUAUUUUCAUUUUUGGGUGAACUCUCCCUUUAAUUACAUGCUCAUACUUUAAUUAUGCCUGAUAAGAAUUUGUAAUAUUUGUGUUUAAACAUUUUUCGAAUUUUAAUCCUUGUUUUUAAAUGGCCAUGACAGUGACAAAAAGGAAGCAGCCUUCUCUAGCCCACCCAAGUUUCCAUCAAAGCAGCAAGCCUAGUAAGACAUUUUAUGUGUAUAAUGCUGCACUUCUCAUACAGCGAAUAUCAGAUGUAGAUAUCUAAGGUGCAAAUCUUAUGGUUGAUGUGCCUUUUUGAUCAUCUUUCUGUUGUAACCUUUUUUAAUCUUCUUGAAGUGUCAGUAAGAAGAAAGCUGGCUAACCCUCCCACCCCUUGUUUAACUCCUCCAGCCCAUCCCACAUCAUUGUAGAGUGAAGAGACUGCGGUUAAUAUUCAGAAAGAGGCGUAGAGAACUGAAGGCUUUCCUGACUUGACACCGAAUAAUAACGAAGGCCUGUGUGCUUUGCAGCAGCCUCCACGUCACCCUCUUCCAGGGCUCCGUCAGAGGACUAACGAUAUGCCACAAGAUGAUUGGCAGCAAGACG